UACAGAGGGGGCAAGCGUUAUUCGGAAUUAUUGGGCGUAAAGGGCGCGUAGGCGGCCUGGCAAGUGGAAGGUGAAAUCCCUCGGCUUAACCGAGGAACUGCCCUCCAAACUGCUUGGCUUGAGUCCGGGAGAGGUGAGUGGAAUUCCCAGUGUAGCGGUGAAAUGCGUAGAUAUUGGGAGGAACACCAGUGGCGAAGGCGGCGCUCUGGACCGAGACUGACGCUGAGGCGCGAAAGCGUGGGGAGCAAACAGG
RNAcentral lists this ribosomal RNA (253 nucleotides) under uncultured bacterium. RNAcentral describes it as "partial 16S ribosomal RNA". It matches the Rfam family "Bacterial small subunit ribosomal RNA", at positions 524 to 776 of the family's 1533-position model. The record is from RNAcentral.